Molecule: ribosomal RNA, 816 nt
Filed under: uncultured bacterium
Lineage: Bacteria
Description: bacterial SSU rRNA
Rfam family: Bacterial small subunit ribosomal RNA
Source: RNAcentral
UCGCACGAGAAAGGGGAGCAAUCCCUGAGUACAGUGGCGCACGGGUGAGUAACACGUGAAUGAUCUACCUCCGAGUGGGGAAUAACUGAGAGAAAUCUUAGCUAAUACCGCAUAACACUUACGAGUCAAAGCAGCAAUGCGCUUGGAGAGGAGUUCGCGGCCGAUUAGUUAGUUGGCGGGGUAAUGGCCCACCAAGACGAUGAUCGGUAUCCGGCCUGAGAGGGCGCACGGACACACUGGAACUGAAACACGGUCCAGACUCCUACGGGAGGCAGCAGUGGGGAAUUUUGCGCAAUGGGGGAAACCCUGACGCAGCAACGCCGCGUGGAGGAUGAAAUAUCUUGGUAUGUAAACUCCUUUCGAUGGGGAAGAUUAUGACGGUACCCAUAGAAGAAGCCCCGGCUAACUUCGUGCCAGCAGCCGCGGUAAUACGAGGGGGGCAAGCGUUGUUCGGAUUUAUUGGGCGUAAAGGGUGCGUAGGCGGUUUGGCAAGUCUUAUGUGAAAUCUUCGGGCUCAACCCGAAGCCUGCAUAAGAAACUGCCGGGCUUGAGUAUGGGAGAGGUGAGUGGAAUUUCCGGUGUAGCGGUGAAAUGCGUAGAUAUCGGAAGGAACACCUGUGGCGAAAGCGGCUCACUGGACCAUAACUGACGCUGAUGCACGAAAGCUAGGGGAGCAAACAGGAUUAGAUACCCUGGUAGUCCUAGCCCUAAACGAUGAUUGGCUUGGUGUGGCAGGUACCCAAUCCUGCCGUGGCGAAGCUAACGCGAUAAGCAUCCCGCCUGGGGGGGUACGGUCGCAAGGCUGAAACUCAAAGG